CGAGUGGGUCAGACGGUCGCAUGCAUCGCAUGAGGAAAGUCCGGGCUCCCAAGGGCAAGGUGCCAGCUAACAGCUGGGCGGGGCGACCCGACGGAAAGUGCCACAGAAAAGAAAACUCCCGCCGUUUUGCGGCGAGACAAGCUGAAACGGUGCGGUAAAAGCGCACCAGCGCGUCGGUAACGGCGCGGCUUGGCAAACCCCACCUGGAGCAAACGCAAAUAGGAACGCGAUACGGCCGCCCUUCCGUGCGUUCGGGUUGCGCGCUCGAUACGUGCGGUGACGCACGUCCUAGAUAAAUGGCCGUCCAACGACAGAACCCGGCUUACCGACCCACUCGAUCC
Molecule: non-coding RNA, 341 nt
Organism: Coriobacteriaceae bacterium
Lineage: Bacteria; Bacillati; Actinomycetota; Coriobacteriia; Coriobacteriales; Coriobacteriaceae
Rfam family: Bacterial RNase P class A
About the family: Ribonuclease P (RNase P) is a ubiquitous endoribonuclease, found in archaea, bacteria and eukarya as well as chloroplasts and mitochondria. Its best characterised activity is the generation of mature 5'-ends of tRNAs by cleaving the 5'-leader elements of precursor-tRNAs. Cellular RNase Ps are ribonucleoproteins.
Source: Rfam